GAAACGGGUGAUGUUCCCCCUCUGCACCCCUUGGGAUUUGGGAGGGCGGCUGAAGUCCUGGGCUUUUCCCGCAAUCUCAGUCCCUGUAGGGGACCCAGAUAUCUCGUAGAGGAUGCCGAGCUGCCUCCCCCUAGACCCUUGCGGGCUCCCGUGGGAGCUCCUACUGGCCACGACCGUCUACUGUGCCCCUCUCGGGCAAAAGUUCCCCCUCGCUGUAAGAAGAACCUUCCCAUGCAGCUCGAAGACCCAGCUCCCAAAGGCCAAGACCUUUUGCUUGAGCCAUCGGUAGCUCAAGCUGUGCCUGGACAGGAUCCUCCACUGGUGAUCCUGCCCCAACACAGAUUGACCAAGGCCCACUGUUUAACCUGGCCGUGCAGGCCUGGCUGGUUGCCGCUUUUUGGAGCCGAGAAGGAAUUUUCCCCUGGGAGGUCUCUCGAUCCCCAGGUUUUUUGCCUUCUCUGCACGGCCUUCCUCUUGAGCUCUGCAAGCGCCUUGGCUUGACGCUGAAGAAGAGUCAACCAGUGGGUCUUUCCCCCUCCCGCCCUUCCCCCCGCCAAUAAAAUAUAAAUCAAUCUGAA
This is a long non-coding RNA of Hemicordylus capensis (graceful crag lizard), 578 nucleotides long. RefSeq lists it as uncharacterized. The transcript is spliced from 2 exons. Lineage: Eukaryota; Metazoa; Chordata; Lepidosauria; Squamata; Cordylidae. The record is from RefSeq and is a predicted model, not a curated record.